This 255-nucleotide ribosomal RNA is filed under the name Triticum aestivum (bread wheat). RNAcentral describes it as "partial small subunit ribosomal RNA". Lineage: Eukaryota; Viridiplantae; Streptophyta; Magnoliopsida; Poales; Poaceae. The record is from RNAcentral.
AUGGCUCCUGCAGAGGCGCCAACAGAUGGAGACAAGAAAAAAAGAGUCGCAAUCGGCGCUCCUUACACGUGGAUCAUGGAGAACUUCGCGCAUUGCCCUGAGGACGCUAAUGAUGAUGUAAUCUAGACGUAUGCUCGCGUGUACAUGUGGUAUGUUAUCUCUAGGACUCUCUUUGCUGGCGGCGGUGGCAAGACCGCUCAAUGGAUGUGGGUCAAGGCGUUGACUGUCCUUGACUCCCUACGGGUGAGCGGGUGA